Long non-coding RNA from Nelumbo nucifera (sacred lotus), 1724 nucleotides. RefSeq lists it as uncharacterized. The record is from RefSeq and is a predicted model, not a curated record. Lineage: Eukaryota; Viridiplantae; Streptophyta; Magnoliopsida; Proteales; Nelumbonaceae.
AAAACAUAAUUCAGGUGUUAAGUGACAAACACCCAAAUUAGGGGGGGGGGGGCGUAUGUGGAAUUUAGCCAAACUAUUGUAUCAUUCUCUUCCCGCGGAAAUAUGAAUAGAGCCCGGCGUUAAUGGAGGGAGUGGAGGAAAUCGCAGAGGCGCCGGCGAGUUGUCAUAAGCUCGUUUUACUCUUUUGCCCAUGUAGAUCUACGAAGCUACUACUAAGCCUGGCCUUCGAUUCUGACUGAGUAUAUGCGGGGGGUAGGGGGAGCGGGAUUGGACUUCUUAUUUAAGCUUAUAAUCCCCAGACUGUUGAACACCAGCCUAAUUUAGGUUUUUCUCUCUGAGGUUUCUCUCGAAGAAGACCGGUAGAUGGGCGGAAACCUAGAUAUUUUGAUCGAUAAGCUUGCAAUCAAGCGUUUGGAUUGUAUUGAAGAUUCUUCCCUCUUAAACCAAAGGAAAGGUUUAGUUUCUUGUAUAUUUCAAUUGAUUCCAGUUUUGUAUUUCGUAGCAGUGAUAUUGGUCAUGACGAGAAGUGGGUUGCCCUAAUUCGGCGUCGUAUCGAUUUCGCUUGGGCAGUGGAGAAAGAUACGACAAGGCAGGCAAGCUGGAAGGAGAUGACGACGCAAGGCUAUAGCAUAGCUUUGUGGAGAACUUGUAGUUGGCUCAUCAAGUUCAUCAAGAACUGUUUAUCAUCAUUGAUCUGAUUAACACAGCUAAGUUCGAAUUUCUUUGGAUAAUAAUCGUGGAGAAACAGUACAACUAUACUAGUCUAGCGCUUAGGUUUGCAGUUUUUCUUUUUCAAGCCUAUCAAAUGCUAUUAUGUGUCUAUUCUUUGUGUUCUAUGGCAAUAGUUUCAGGUUACAAUUUCGAGUUUUUCCCGUUUAGUGUUUGAAUUUUGCUUGUUUCCCUGACGAUGACUCCUUUUUAUAGAAAUUCUGGGUCUUGAACGUUAUUCUGAAUCGUUUUAUGCUAAAUUGCUAAUACAAGCAUAAAGUCAAGCUUCUAAUAGCCCAACAGAUUUAGACAUAAUUGAACUGACAAUAAAAUAAUGUUGAUCGUAAGGAUAAGUUUUGAUGACUUACAGUUCUCUUUUUUCCGUGGUUUAAAACUAUCUUUCUUUUUAAUCUCUGUAGGUGGAGGCUAAUGAUGCAGUAACAGUAGCUGGAAUAAUCAGACCAAAGCAAUUACCUUAUAAGUUCUGUCAGUCCUUUCUGUUUCUGCAGCAACUAAGCUGCAGUGCUUCCGGUUUGCCAAUCUCCACAUUUUGACGCCACCAAAUCAUGUUAGCAGAGUGGUCACACUAUAGCCAACAAAUUGAUGCACCACUGUUUCAUAAUCUUGGGCCUUGGCACCAGUUGAAAGUCGGGUAGGUUACUGCUCCAUGAGGAAGCUCUUUUGGUACGACUGAAGGCUAGCCAGGACUUCUAUGCUUGUCUUUCGAGCUAGAACUGUGUGAGAUUUCAGGUGUUCGCAUUGAUAUCUCCAACGAUGGUUCCAGAAACCAGGAGAUUAUUAGGACAUUUGUCUUUGGAAGGGUUAUAUUCAACAAUGGUGGAUUUGGUCACCUUGUGCAAUAGUGGUGGGAGCCAUUGGUUUGUCAGAUCUCUCACCCACAUUUUUCUGUUUACUCGUUAGUGAAAAGCUUUUUUCCCGAAUUUGUUAUGGUCAACAGCAUUGCUUGUAGACCAUGUGAAAUUUUUACUCUCAAAAAGAAUUCCUUUUUUCACUCA